GAUGAAGAACGCAGCGAAAUGCGAUAAGUAAUGUGAAUUGCAGAAUUCAGUGAAUCAUCGAAUCUUUGAACGCACAUUGCGCCCCUUGGUAUUCCGGGGGGCAUGCCUGUUCGAGCGUCAUUUCAACCCUCAAGCUCAGCUUGGUAUUGAGUCCAUGUCAGUAAUGGCAGGCUCUAAAAUCAGUAGCGGCGCCGCUGGGUCCUGAACGUAGUAAUAUCUCUCGUUACAGGUUCUCGGUGUGCUUCUGCCAAAACCCAAAUUUUCUAUGGUUGACCUCGGAUCAGGUAGGGAUACCCGCUGAACUUAAGCAUAUCAAUAAGCGGAGGA
RNAcentral lists this unclassified non-coding RNA (327 nucleotides) under soil metagenome. RNAcentral's name for it is "partial contains 5.8S ribosomal RNA, internal transcribed spacer 2, and large subunit ribosomal RNA". The stretch from base 1 to 120 matches the Rfam family "5.8S ribosomal RNA", at positions 35 to 154 of the family's 154-position model. The record is from RNAcentral.